RNAcentral lists this ribosomal RNA (495 nucleotides) under Halopteris geminata. Its description in RNAcentral is "partial 16S ribosomal RNA". The record is from RNAcentral. Lineage: Eukaryota; Metazoa; Cnidaria; Hydrozoa; Leptothecata; Halopterididae.
UGCUGCAUUACUAGGAUAACUUAAUUCAACAUCGAGGUGUCAAACUUUAUCUUCGAUAGCUUCUCUAAGAUAAAAUUAACCUGUUAUCCCUAAAGUAGCUUUUAUUUAUUUAUUGUCAAUUUUUUUUUUUAAAAUUGACAGGUCAUUAAAAUCCACUUUGUGAUUGUUAAAUUAAUAAAUUAAACAAAAAUUUGCUUCUAUUAAUUAUAUUGCAUUCUUUAUUUUUAAAAUGCUGUUGCCCCAACCAAACUACCAAGAUAUAAUUUUUUAUACAAUAAUAUAUUAAUAAUUGUAUUUAUUAUAAAAUAUAGUUAAGCUUUAUAGGGUCUUCUCGUCUUACAGUUUUAAAUAGCAUCUUCACUAUUAUUUAAAUUUAAAUUUUUUUAUAUUUAAGACAGUGGAAACCUCGUAAAACCAUUCACCUACGUUCAUCAAUUAAAUGACUAUUUAUUUUCCUACAUUACCACCGUCAAGAAUACAGCGGCCGUUGAGUCU